GUUAGGAAUAUUGGACAAUGGGCGCAAGCCUGAUCCAGCCAUGCCGCGUGAGUGAUGAAGGCCUUCGGGUUGUAAAGCUCUUUAGCCGAUGAUUAUAAUGACUGUAGUCGGAAAAUAAGCCCCGGCUAACUUCGUGCCAGCAGCCGCGGUAAUACGAAGGGGGCGAGCGUUAUUCGGAAUCACUGGGCGUAAAGCGUGCGUAGGCGGCUUUGCAAGUUGGGAGUGAAAGCCCAGGGCUCAACCCUGGAAUUGCUCUCAAAACUGCAAGGCUCGAAUUCGGGAGAGGAUAGCGGAAUUGUCAGUGUAGCAGUGAAAUGCGUAGAUAUUGACAGGAACACCAGUGGCGUAAGCGGCUAUCUGGACCGAUAUUGACGCUGAGGCACGAAAGCGUGGGGAUCAAACAGGAUUAGAAACCCCGUAGUCC
RNAcentral lists this ribosomal RNA (424 nucleotides) under uncultured bacterium. RNAcentral describes it as "partial 16S ribosomal RNA". It matches the Rfam family "Bacterial small subunit ribosomal RNA", at positions 354 to 796 of the family's 1533-position model. The record is from RNAcentral.